Long non-coding RNA from Lates calcarifer (barramundi perch), 1202 nucleotides. RefSeq lists it as uncharacterized. The record is from RefSeq and is a predicted model, not a curated record. Lineage: Eukaryota; Metazoa; Chordata; Actinopteri; Centropomidae. The transcript has 3 exons.
GGUGUCACGACUUCGUCCACGACUUCGUCCACGAUCGCAGAGACAUGGUCCAUGAUCGGAGAGACAUUGUUGAGGAUGAGGGAGACAUCGUCCUCGAUCAGAGACAUUGUCCACGAUCACAGAGACCUUGUCAAAGAUGAGAGAGAUGUUGUCUGUGAUCAGAGACAUUGUCCCAUGCUUCGUAGAGACCUUGCGAUAGAAUCGGCGGAGACGGGGGUCACCGAUUUGACGGCAUUGCCCGCGAUCAUGGAGACAUUGUUGAAGCUCACAGAGACGGCGUCUAUGAUCUCAGAGACAUCGUCCAUGAUCGCAAAGACAUUGGCCAUGAUCACAGAGACUUUGUCCAUAAUCUCAGAGACAUUGUCCGCGAUCACAGAGACGUAGUCCAUGAUCACAGAGAGUCUUUGUACAAUGAAGAAGUUCUUUGAGACCAGGACAGAGGCCUCCAGGUGUCACGACUUCGUCCACGACUUCGUCCACGAUCGCAGAGACAUGGUCCAUGAUCGGAGAGACAUUGUUGAGGAUGAGGGAGACAUCGUCCUCGAUCAGAGACAUUGUCCACGAUCACAGAGACCUUGUCAAAGAUGAGAGAGAUGUUGUCUGUGAUCGGAGACAUUGUCCCAUGCUUCGUAGAGACCUUGCGAUAGAAUCGGCGGAGACGGGGGUCACCGAUUUGACGGCAUUGCCCGCGAUCAUGGAGACAUUGUUGAAGCUCACAGAGACGGCGUCUAUGAUCUCAGAGACAUCGUCCAUGAUCGCAAAGACAUUGGCCAUGAUCACAGAGACUUUGUCCAUAAUCUCAGAGACAUUGUCCGCGAUCACAGAGACGUAGUCCAUGAUCACAGAGAGUCUUUGUACAAUGAAGAAGUUCUUUGAGACCAGGACAGAGGCCUCCAGGUGUCACGACUUCGUCCACGACUUCGUCCACGAUCGCAGAGACAUGGUCCAUGAUCGGAGAGACAUUGUUGAGGAUGAGGGAGACAUCGUCCUCGAUCAGAGACAUUGUCCACGAUCACAGAGACCUUGUCAAAGAUGAGAGAGAUGUUGUCUGUGAUCGGAGACAUUGUCCCAUGCUUCGUAGAGACCUUGCGAUAGAAUCGGCGGAGACGGGGGUCACCGAUUUGACGGCAUUGCCCGCGAUCAUGGAGACAUUGUUGAAGCUCACAGAGAUGGCGUCUAUGAUCUCAGAGACAUCGUCCAUG